RNAcentral lists this ribosomal RNA (499 nucleotides) under uncultured Glomeromycotina. RNAcentral's name for it is "partial small subunit ribosomal RNA". It matches the Rfam family "Eukaryotic small subunit ribosomal RNA", at positions 591 to 1092 of the family's 1831-position model. The record is from RNAcentral. Lineage: Eukaryota; Fungi; Glomeromycota.
CCAAUAGCGUAUAUUAAAGUUGUUGCAGUUAAAAAGCUCGUAGUUGAAUUUCGGGAUCAAUUGAUUGGUCAUGCCUUGGUAUGAACUGGUCAUAUUGGUUCUCACCUUCUAAUGAACCAUAAUGUCAUUCACUUGAUGUUAUGGGGAAUUAGGACUGUUACCUUGAAAAAAUUAGAGUGUUUAAAGCAGGCUUACGCUUGAAUACAUUAGAAUGGAAUAAUGAAAUAGGACAUCGCAUUCUAUUUUGUUGGUUUCUAGGAUCGAUGUAAUGAUUAAUAGGGAUAGUUGGGGGCAUUAGUAUUCAAUUGUCAGAGGUGAAAUUCUUGGAUUUAUUGAAGACUAACUACUGCGAAAGCAUUUGCCAAGGAUGUUUUCAUUAAUCAAGAACGAAAGUUAGGGGAUCGAAGACGAUCAGAUACCGUCGUAGUCUUAACCAUAAACUAUGCCGACUAGGGAUCGGAUGAUGUUAAUUUUUAAAUGACUCAUUCGGCACCUUACG